GACGAACGCUGGCGGCGUGCCUAAUACAUGCAAGUGGGACGCAAGGGAACACACUGUGCUUGCACACCGUGUUUUCUUGAGUCGCGAACGGGUGAGUAACGCGUAGGUAACCUGCCUAUUAGCGGGGGAUAACUAUUGGAAACGAUAGCUAAUACCGCAUAAUAUUAAUUAUUGCAUGAUAAUUGAUUGAAAGAUGCAAGCGCAUCACUAGUAGAUGGACCUGCGUUGUAUUAGCUAGUUGGUAAGGUAAGAGCUUACCAGGGCGACGAUACAUAGCCGACCUGAGAGGGUGAUCGGCCACACUGGGACUGAGACACGGCCCAGACUCCUACGGGAGGCAGCAGUAGGGAAUCUUCGGCAAUGGACGAAAGUCUGACCGAGCAACGCCGCGUGAGUGAAGAAGGUUUUCGGAUCGUAAAGCUCUGUUGUAAGUCAAGAACGUGUGUGAGAGUGGAAA
RNAcentral lists this ribosomal RNA (457 nucleotides) under Streptococcus mutans. RNAcentral describes it as "bacterial SSU rRNA". It matches the Rfam family "Bacterial small subunit ribosomal RNA", at positions 28 to 464 of the family's 1533-position model. Lineage: Bacteria; Bacillati; Bacillota; Bacilli; Lactobacillales; Streptococcaceae. The record is from RNAcentral.